UCUCCGUAGGUGAACCUGCGGAGGGAUCAUUACAGAGUUCAUGCCCUAACGGGUAGAUCUCCCACCCUAUGUUAUCAUCACUUUGUUGCUUUGGCGGGCCGUCAGGCCUCGGCUUGGCUACCGGCUCUCGCUGGUAAGCGCCCGCCAGAGAACCCCAAACCCUGAAUAUCAGUGUCGUCUGAGUACUAUAUAAUAGUUAAAACUUUCAACAGCGGAUCUCUUGGUUCUG
Molecule: unclassified non-coding RNA, 229 nt
Filed under: plant metagenome
Description: partial contains small subunit ribosomal RNA, internal transcribed spacer 1, and 5.8S ribosomal RNA
Source: RNAcentral